GAAAAGGAUAUUGAAGAGCAUAAGGAACAUUGAGUCAAGGCCAAGAGGCAACUCAUCCGAGAGCAAAGUAGGGACGGCGAUACGUAACGCCUACAAUUCCUGGGAACUCUCACGCAUGAACUGUGGCGAAGCGUGACUCUCUGCCCAGGAGCUUGCAGGGACGACGAUACAUAACGCCUGCAAGUGCUCUGAUAGGUAGACAGACAGACAGAGCAGC
RNAcentral lists this unclassified non-coding RNA (217 nucleotides) under Hevea brasiliensis (rubber tree). Lineage: Eukaryota; Viridiplantae; Streptophyta; Magnoliopsida; Malpighiales; Euphorbiaceae. The record is from RNAcentral.